GCGAACUCUGGGCAAGUGGCAGCGGUAAUAAAGAGGGGGAAAGAGUGAAGCGGAAUAACGUGGCUUAAAGCGCACGCAGGAGGUUAGAUAAGUCAGAGGUGAAAGCCCCGGGCUCAACGUGGGAAUUGCAGUGAAAACUGGCCAGCUAGAGUCAUGUAGAGGGGGGUAGAAUUCCAGGUGUAGCGGUGAAAUGCGUAGAGAUCUGGAGGAAUACCGGUGGCGAAGGCGGCUCCCUGGCAUCAUACUGACACUGAGGUUCGAAAGCGUGGGUAGCAAACAGGAUUAGAUACCCCUGUAGUC
This 300-nucleotide ribosomal RNA is filed under the name uncultured Lactobacillus sp. RNAcentral describes it as "bacterial SSU rRNA". It matches the Rfam family "Bacterial small subunit ribosomal RNA", at positions 496 to 795 of the family's 1533-position model. The record is from RNAcentral. Lineage: Bacteria; Bacillati; Bacillota; Bacilli; Lactobacillales; Lactobacillaceae.